UUAAAUUGAAGAGUUUGAUCAUGGCUCAGAUUGAACGCUGGCGGCAKSSSWARMRCAYGCAAGUCGAACGGUAACAGGAAGCAGCUUGCUGCUUUGCUGACGAGUGGCGGACGGGUGAGUAAUGUCUGGGAAACUGCCUGAUGGAGGGGGAUAACUACUGGAAACGGUAGCUAAUACCGCAUAACGUCGCAAGACCAAAGAGGGGGACCUUAGGGCCUCUUGCCAUCGGAUGUGCCCAGAUGGGAUUAGCUAGUAGGUGGGGUAACGGCUCACC
Molecule: ribosomal RNA, 274 nt
Filed under: Escherichia coli
Lineage: Bacteria; Pseudomonadati; Pseudomonadota; Gammaproteobacteria; Enterobacterales; Enterobacteriaceae
Description: partial 16S ribosomal RNA
Rfam family: Bacterial small subunit ribosomal RNA
Source: RNAcentral